UUUUAAAAUAAUUGAUCAAGUAGCUUAAGCAAUUAAACUGAUGUUCUCUACUAUCUCGCAGCAACUUUAACGUUUAAUUGACUCCCGCGGAUAUCUUUUACUUGAACAGAGUCACAAUUAUGACAGAAAAUAGAUAACAUGUGUGAAUUUUCUAUGUGUCUAGACAUUAUUACCUAUGUAACUACAUCAAAUAAUAAUAAUUGUAUAAAUACACCAAACAAGAAAUUGAAUAAACACUAAUUUCUCAGACGGAACAAUAAGUAAUAAUAAUAAUGUAAUCUCAAUAAUAAAACAGAAAACAAGUUGAACAUAAUUAUAACGUUGUACGGCAUUCUCUAUGGAAACAAACAAGUUGGUUUUAUUUAACCUCAUGAUUCGGGACUUAAAACAAUUAGAAAUUAGAAGUAAAUGAAAGUUAAAAAUUAGGAGCUCUGUUGCCCUGUUCAUGAUAUUCUCCCAUUGUGCAACACCUAAUUAGUAUUAAAUUACUUAUAAAAAGAAAUUAUCACUCUUAAAUGUCAAAAGUAUGAAUAAAUGGGCAAUUAGAGUGAACGUUGAUAUUAGUGCGUAUGUUGUCACAAGACAAUAUAUAAUUUCAAUAGAAAUACAUUAACCCAGAUCUCAUGAAAAGAACUUCAGAUUUAUAAUAAACACUUUAAUAAAUAACGAUUAUUCGUUGAAUCUCAUCUUUAGUACAAUCAAUAAUAGAAUUAGAUUCCUGUUACAUGGGAAAACAAAUAAAAUAAGUAACAAAGAGAAUGAAAUUGUGGAGAAGCAAUCAUGGUUCAAGAUACCGUAUGUAGAUAUGAUCUCUGAUAAAUUAAAAAAUGUUGUUAGAGAUGUAAAUGUGAGAAUGGCAUAUUCGAGUCUUAAUAAAUUGCAAAGAUUUGUAAAAGUUCAUAAGGAUGCGCUCCCGGUCAGUUCUAACAAAGAUGUAGUCUACAGGAUUACAUGCAAGGACUGUGAUGCGACUUAUGUUGGACAAACUUCAAGACAGCUUAAAACGAGAACAUCGGAACAUAUAUCACAUUCGAAGAAAUACUAAUACACAUUGUGUCAUCACGGAACAUAGGCUGAAUCUUAACCAUGAAUUUGAUUGGGAAAAUGUCCAUAUUUUAGACAAAGAAAAAUUUUUAUCGAAGAGAUUGGUGUCAGAAAUGAUUCACAUUAAAUUACAGAAUAACAGCCUCAAUUUGCAGGCGGACACGAAAUUCUUGCACCAUGCUUAUGUUUCCGUUCUGAAUAAAUUGUAAAACAAGUUUGGUAAAGAAAUAUUAAACUAAACACUUGUCAUUCUGUUUUGGAAUUGAAUUUGUUUCGUGAUGUCUACCGUGUUUGCGUGCGUGACCUAGACAUAGGUAUGGUUUGGCAAAUAUUGACUCAGUACAUUCUAAGACGUCGUUCCGUGAGCUGGCAGAUUUCUUAAAAAUGAGACAGACAUUUGAUUAAUUGGUUAAGUCAGUGAUGGAACAUUGUAUCGAUGGAGAUGUUUUUUGUACUCAUUAUGUUGUAAUUCUUCGUUCUUUCGACUUAUGGGUGAGUGUUUAAAUUAAAUUGUUCUUUAAGCAGUUAAUUUAUCUGGUUUGGAUCACAUUACAGAUAGUGGUCAAGGUUGACUAUGACAAGGCUUGUUGAUUAAGGAAUUUCCAAGCUGUCACCAUAAGUACGGAGGAAUGUGAGAAUAUUUUGGUUUUAUAUUGCUAAAGAUGGCUACGAAUUUGAGCCAAAACGUACUUUAAUGUAUUUCUAUUGAAAUUAUAUAUUGUCUUGUGACAACAUACGCACUAAAUCAGCAUUAACUCUAAUUGCCCAUUUUUUCAUACUUUUAAAUUACUUAUUUUCAUAUUAUUAAACUGGACUUUGCUUACAAGUUGUGGUUUUCCUUAUGGUUAUAUAUUUAAUUAACCUACAUGUUUAUAUAUUUAAUUAUACUUAUUAUAUAUUAUAUGAUAAUAAUAACUUAAUAAUAACUUGAGUGCGCGCACAGGAGCAUGGAAGAAGUCAUUCAAUAUUUUCUUACAUGAACAGGAAAAAUAGCGGACAGUGUCAUAUCAGUGUUUCUAAGAAGCUAAUAAACAGCCAGGAUGGACAGGACGAAACAAUUUAAAAAGCCACUCAAGUGCUAUCCACGGAAUCAAUUGCACAGGGCCUGAGUAAGAACGUCCGCACUGGAAUUGAAAGAUGCUGCGUACAUACAAUAUCGCGCCUUGCAUUAUACAUAGAAGAUGCUGCUAGUCGUGCAAUUAAGCCACAACUGGCCUCCUUCAAUUACGACUUAUCUUGGAAAGUUAGAAUGUAGCUAUAACAUUAAACACUAUAAAUACAAAGAAACAGGCAAUACAACAAAGUCAAAUCAUCCAUAUUUAUAUCAACAUCACUCGCAGAUUAAUAACAGUAUAAUGGUACGAUCAAAAAGUGAAAGAAGUGACCAGAUCAGGGUUGUGACAACGAUAAUGCUACCUCCAGCUGCGGACAUGGCGCAAGGGAGACAGAAUGUCCAACAACAUAUUACUAAUGCGGUACGUUAUUUCGAAAAAACGUUCGAAAGAGCAUACCGGAGGAGAUACGCCAACGUAUACGUGCAACCAGCAACUGCGUGUAUGUAAGUGUGUAAACGCGCACAACGAUGGUAUCAGGAUACACAUAUUUGCGCCGCGAUGAGAUUGAGACUCAGAGAACAGGGUAGAAAGUCGGAGCAUAAAAUGAGAGAAGAAUACAAAGAAGAGAAGAGCAUAAAACAGAGAACGCAAAUAGAGAAACACCCUGAAAGCCUGAUUAGUAGCCUAUUAUCAAUAUUGUGGACGUACGAAUGUGUGCCCAGAUAUAUUCGAGAUACAACUCCAUUUCCAUCGGGAUAUAUAUUGCAUAUACCUUUUUUUAAUAUAAAAUGCAUAAAGUAAGAAAACGAAUUACGUUGUGUUAUUUUUUAAUGUUUAUUAGACAUCAAAAAGCAAUCCUAUUCUUUACGACGUGCAAUAAAAAAAAGCAUGGGUCUCACAAUCCUUUCUCCGAUAAAUAAGCGCAAUACAAAAAAGAUUAGUUUUACUGGAUCGACCUCACCUAGACAUCUGUGUGGCAAUCUCAUUGAAAGAUAAUAGCAUCACGCUGCGAGUACGUGUAUACGAGUGUAUUACCAACCUGGGACGCGAAAUUGAGAGAAAAUAAGAUCGAUCACUGCCUUGAUAAAGAAAGAAGUCUAUCCGCGAACCUUUGAGAUUGUGCUUCGUAGAAUGAUAAAGCUUUAACGAUGAUUCCACAUAAUACCCCCCUCAGAACCCCAAGGUUCUGUGAUUCCGCGGGCAGUAAAUGCUUCCUGUCAGAACGAAAUUGCACGACGAGAGGAGGUAUAGAAAUCUAUUGUGAACCUUACUUGUCGCUGUUCGCAGCUCGUAAAAAAAUUCCGUUGGACAAGCUCGAAAUGCUUUCGUAAGACCGUCCGUCUCCUGCAAGCUCUUCACUCGCGAUUCCCUUCUUUUAUUCCGUGACCAGAAUGCAAUUUCCACGAAACAGGCAAACGUAGCGAGUUUCGAAGAACCGGUACAAUGUCGACGUCCAGAUGUCGUCACGUCGUACCCUUUAAAGAAUGGAAUAGAAAAGUGCGCAAAGUAUACGCGCGUGUACCUGGUACGAGACAGUUUCUUGGUCUCCGCACAGAUAUCUGAACAAAUACGUACACUAACAUCAAGAACGAUGCAAAUUCAAGUAGGGGAGACCGGUGUCAAUUGUAACAGGUGUCAAAUGUAACAGAGCUUAUUUUAGAGCCACCUUAUAUAAAAACACGAAGUAGCCUUCAUUAAGUAAUAAGAGACAACUUUUCGCAUUACCGUCCCGAAUGUGGUCAUCGUAACGUUCUUGUUGUCCACGUUAUCCCCAAAUUUACGGAAAUUGCGACCAAAAGUAAAUAUUCUCUCACAAAUCUUUUUUGGUGCACAACUUAGGUUACUGUAUUUAUUCAAAAUUCGAUAACAGCCCAUUAUUAUAUGUUGCCUGAACUAUCUUAUUGUGUAGGUUAGAUAUUUUAGGUAAAGAAACAUAUAAGAAAAUAACAGGAUAAUUUCGGAAAUGGCAUAGAGGUGUCGUUUGUAACAUCCUGGGAUGUUACAAUUGACAUCUAUACAUUUACUUCGUAUGUUUUAAUAUACAUUUUUUGGUAAUUAUUUAGCUACCGGGUGAAAAAUGGUGAAACCAAGACCAAGAAAAACCGAAAGGGGAAUAAUCUGCCAAACAUCUCAGCUGCACUGAUAAAAAUGUUUCUUUUAUAUGUAUUAAUUGUUUCUCUGAUUAAUAUUUUUGUUUAUGUUUCACUUGGUUUUUAGAAUUUCGUUUUGUUUGGUUCUUAUUGCUUUACUUCUCGUUUCAUUAUUUCAAUGUUUACUCGAUAUUAUUUAUAAUAAAAGUAUUUGUUACAAUUGACACCAGCCCUGUUACAAUUGACACCAGAGAGGUGUCGAUAGUAACGCUCGUCGCACUAUGAUAAAAAUGGAAUAUAUUUCGAGACGAUUCCCGAUAGCUAUAUUAUAAAAAUCUGAUAAGUAGCACCAAACUUGAAGGUUUGUUCCAAACAAAUGUGAAACAAAAAUUGCGAACGGUUUACUGAAAAAAAAA
This 4605-nucleotide long non-coding RNA is filed under the name Ooceraea biroi (clonal raider ant). Its description in RNAcentral is "uncharacterized LOC105284968, transcript variant X7". The record is from RNAcentral. Lineage: Eukaryota; Metazoa; Arthropoda; Insecta; Hymenoptera; Formicidae.